UACGGAGGGUGCGAGCGUUAUCCGGAAUCACUGGGUUUAAAGGGUGCGUAGGCGGCUCGGUAAGUCAGUUGUGAAAGCCCCUUGCUUAACGAGGGAGUUGCGAUUGAUACUGUCGACCUUGAAUCGGGAUGAGGCAGGCGGAAUGUGGCAUGUAGCGGUGAAAUGCAUAGAUAUGCCAUAGAACACCGAUUGUGAAGGUAGCCUGCUGGGCCUGUAUUGACGCUGAGGCACGAAAGCGUGGGGAGCAAACAGG
RNAcentral lists this ribosomal RNA (253 nucleotides) under uncultured bacterium. RNAcentral's name for it is "partial 16S ribosomal RNA". It matches the Rfam family "Bacterial small subunit ribosomal RNA", at positions 524 to 776 of the family's 1533-position model. The record is from RNAcentral.